GUAGGUGGCAAGCGUUGUCCGGAAUUAUUGGGCGUAAAGCGCGCGCAGGCGGUUCUUUAAGUCUGAUGUGAUAGCCCACGGCUCAACCGUGGAGGGUCAUUGGAAACUGGAGAACUUGAGUACAGAAGAGGAAAGCGGAAUUCCACGUGUAGCGGUGAAAUGCGUAGAGAUGUGGAGGAACACCAGUGGCGAAGGCGGCUUUCUGGUCUGUAACUGACGCUGAGGCGCGAAAGCGUGGGGGAGCAAACAGGAUUAGAUACCCUGGUAGUCCACGCCGUAAACGAUGAGUGCUAAGUGUUAGGGGGUUUCCGCCCCUUAGUGCUGCAGCUAACGCAUUAAGCACUCCGCCUGGGAGUACGGCCGCAAGGCUG
This 371-nucleotide ribosomal RNA is filed under the name uncultured organism. RNAcentral's name for it is "partial 16S ribosomal RNA". It matches the Rfam family "Bacterial small subunit ribosomal RNA", at positions 527 to 896 of the family's 1533-position model. The record is from RNAcentral.